RNAcentral lists this ribosomal RNA (435 nucleotides) under uncultured bacterium. Its description in RNAcentral is "partial 16S ribosomal RNA". It matches the Rfam family "Bacterial small subunit ribosomal RNA", at positions 29 to 507 of the family's 1533-position model. The record is from RNAcentral.
AGCGAACGCUGGCGGCAGGCUUAACACAUGCAAGUCGAGCGGGCACUUUCGGGUGUCAGCGGCGGACGGGUGAGUAACGCGUGGGAACGUGCCCUCUGGUUCGGAAUAACUCAGGGAAACUUGAGCUAAUACCGGAUACGCCCUUUUGGGGAAAGGCUUGCUGCCGGAGGAUCGGCCCGCGUCUGAUUAGCUAGUUGGCGAGGUAACGGCUCACCAAGGCGGCGAUCAGUAGCUGGUCUGAGAGGAUGAUCAGCCACACUGGGACUGAGACACGGCCCAGACUCCUACGGGAGGCAGCAGUGGGGAAUAUUGGACAAUGGGCGCAAGCCUGAUCCAGCCAUGCCGCGUGAGUGAUGAAGGCCUUAGGGUUGUAAAGCUCUUUUAUCCGGGACGAUAAUGACGGUACCGGAGGAAUAAGCCCCGGCUAACUUCGUG